This 640-nucleotide ribosomal RNA is filed under the name uncultured bacterium. RNAcentral's name for it is "bacterial SSU rRNA". It matches the Rfam family "Bacterial small subunit ribosomal RNA", at positions 135 to 809 of the family's 1533-position model. The record is from RNAcentral.
AGUGGGGGACAACAGUUGGAAACGACUGCUAAUACCGCAUAAUCCCUGAGGGGGAAAGAUUUAUCGCUUUAAGAUUGGCCCGCGGAAGAUUAGGUAGUUGGUGGGGUAAAGGCCUACCAAGCCGACGAUCUAUAGCUGGUCUGAGAGGACGAACAGCCACAUUGGAACUGAGACACGGUCCAGACUCCUACGGGAGGCAGCAGUGAGGAAUAUUGGGCAAUGGAGGAAACUCUGACCCAGCCAUGCCGCGUGAGUGAAGAAGGUUUUCGAAUUGUAAAGCUCUUUCGGAUGGGACGAUGAUGACGGUACCAUCUAAAGAAGCCCCGGCAAACUUCGUGCCAGCAGCCGCGGUAAUACGAAGGGGGCAAGCGUUGUUCGGAAUUACUGGGCGUAAAGGGUGUGUAGGCGGAUUUGUAAGAUAGUGGUGAAAUACCUGAGCUCAACUUAGGAAUUGCCAUUAUAACUAUAGAUCUGGAGUGACAGAGAGGAUAUUGGAAUACCCAGUGUAGAGGUGAAAUUCGUAGAUAUUGGGUAGAACACCAGUGGCGAAGGCGAGUAUCUGGCUGUCAACUGACGCUGAGGCACGAAAGCAUGGGGAUCAAACAGGAUUAGAUACCCUGGUAGUCCAUGCUGUAAACGA